AGCAGUAGCCGCGGUAAUACGAAGGGGGCUAGCGUUGUUCGGAAUUACUGGGCGUAAAGCGCACGUAGGCGGACAUUUAAGUCAGGGGUGAAAUCCCGGGGCUCAACCCCGGAACUGCCUUUGAUACUGGGUGUCUAGAGUAUGGAAGAGGUGAGUGGAAUUCCGAGUGUAGAGGUGAAAUUCGUAGAUAUUCGGAGGAACACCAGUGGCGAAGGCGGCUCACUGGUCCAUUACUGACGCUGAGGUGCGAAAGCGUGGGGAGCAAACAGGAUUAGAUACCCGUGUAGUCCCUGUCUCUUAUAC
RNAcentral lists this ribosomal RNA (303 nucleotides) under uncultured bacterium. RNAcentral's name for it is "partial 16S ribosomal RNA". It matches the Rfam family "Bacterial small subunit ribosomal RNA", at positions 507 to 807 of the family's 1533-position model. The record is from RNAcentral.